Long non-coding RNA from Dendroctonus ponderosae (mountain pine beetle), 3117 nucleotides. RefSeq lists it as uncharacterized. Lineage: Eukaryota; Metazoa; Arthropoda; Insecta; Coleoptera; Curculionidae. The record is from RefSeq and is a predicted model, not a curated record. The transcript has 2 exons.
CAGUGAUUUCAGAAAAAAUGUACAAAACCGCCAUUUAUUCGCGAGUAAAAGUGUCAACUUCUGUUUAAAAAUCCAAUUUUUCCUGGUAAGAAAGGAAAAACUAUCUUUUAUGCAACCAUGCAUGUUUGAAUGAGUUGCCGUUAUCAGAGAUUUCAGGAGAAAAUUUCGAAACUAGUCAAUUUUUGCGCCAAAAGUACGGAUUUCUGUUUGAAAAUUUGGAACUCAAAAACGAAUUGAUCAGAAAACUUGAGAAAAUGUUCGUUGAAGAGAGCACAGUUUUCUUUUUUGAAGCUUGAAAGUUUCAAUUCGCCACCAUCAUCGACGAUUUCAAGGAAAAUUCUUCAAACCGCUCAUUUUUACGCGAGUAAAACUGUCAAGCUCCAUUAAAAAUGUUUUUUCUCCAGCACAAAUUGAGAAGAAAAAAUGUGUACAAUUGCUUCAGAAUUGGAAAACUCUCUUUUGUAAACCCUGAGAGUUUUAAUUUGCUGCUGUCAUCAGAGAUUUCAGGAAAAAAUGUCGAAACUAGUCAAUUUUUGACGCAAAAAGUACAGAUUUCUGAUUGAAAAUUUGUAACUCAGAAACGAAUUGAGCAGAAAACUUGAGAAAAUGUUCGUUGAAGAGAGCACAGUUUUCUUUUUUCAAGCUUGAAAGUUUCAAUUCGCCACCAUCAUCGACGAUUUCAAGAAAAAUUCUGCAAACCGCUCAUUUUUACGCGAGUAAAACUGUCAAGCUCCAUUAAAAAUGUUCUUUCUCCAGCACAAAUUGAGAAGAAAAAUGAGUACAAUUGCUUUAGAAUGGGAAAACUCUAUUUUGUAAACCCUGAGAGCUUUAAUUUGCUGCUGUCAUCAGAGAUUUCAGAAAAAAAAUGUCGAAACUAGUCAAUUUUUGACGCAAAAAGUACAGAUUUCUGCUUGAAAAUGUGUAACUCAGAAACGAAUUGAGCAGAAAACUUGAGAAAAAUUUCGCUGGAAAGAACAAGGUCUCGUCGAUAAACCCUGAAAGUUUCAGCCGGCCACCAUCAUCAGGGAUUUUUCGAAACGGCCAACAAGAAAAAUCCAGAUAACCAUUCAACAACCUGAUGAUUCCGCACUAUUCUCUUCCCAUAUGGGUGAUUUAAAUUCAUCAAGCAGCGGCCGCAAUCGACCUUCAACAUGCACACGUGUUAGUGUGGGAUUACGAUUGUUUUAGUGGUACCACCCCGCCCAUCCGAUUAUCCCAUGCAGUCCGGCCCUGCCCAUCAAAUGCCAUCUGGAAAAUUAUGUUGAUUCGAGGAUUCAAAGGGCAAACAAGCGCUGUUGACUCGCCCCUAAAAGGGUGAAGGUCUGAUUAUGUUGAUACUGCCAACCACCCAAAGGGGGCCGAUUUAAACAGAUUAAUCUUUCGCCUUGGCAGGGUUGGCGAGCGAAAAAAAAACGUUCGUUCCGGUACGAGCUGGCGCAGUUCGGAAAAACUCGACUCAAUCAAAUGUGAAAACUCUUCCGCAUUGGCGACGACACACCACUGUUUGCUUACGCGGCUGUUUAAAUACAGCAUUUUACAAUGUUCUGAUUGGUUUUAGCGCGUUUGCCAUACGGAUCCCGUGCCAACCACAGUAAAUAUUUACGAAAUUGUGAUUAUGGGGGGCCCCUAUAAGGAGUGCGAAGUGAUUAGAGGACCGAUGCGAAGCCCCCAACUCAAUCUAUUUUAAACCCAAAGGCUGAAAUUAAUAAAAGCCGACCGUGCCGACACAAACAAAAUAAUAAAUAUUAAUUAAACUAGGUAGGGCCGGAGCUGAAUAGAGCAUUUAAAUCGCCAUUUUUUUCUGUACACGGUGGACCGAAAAUAUGACAGUUUUUACCUCGCGCAGGGUUGCCACUGGUUUGCUGCGCGAUUAUUCCGCGAUUAAAAAUCAAGUUGGAUCGAUAUUAUCGAUUCAACUGUUAAUAAGCGAUGACUAAAGUGGAUCAAGUCUUUGUCCCCAAAGUGAUUCAUCAACGCCAUUGUAUGCAAAGGGUCAGAACGAUAACAAUGCAGGAAUUAGGCCAGGAUGUGGCAACAUGUGGCGGGGGAAAAAUCACUAGGACAAAGGCGAAAAGUCAAGAUGUCGGCCUUUCAAAAAAACAGUGGGGGAAGUUACUCGAUAUACCAGGUGCGUGCACAAGGAAAUUGAUGUUCAAUUGCCAAAUGCCCAAACGUUUGCUUUGGAAAAGUCGAAAAGUAGUAAAACCCAGCAUUUCCCAAAGAAAACCAUUAAGAACGUUUGUUAGCAAAAGGAUGAUCUACAAAGCGAGGCUAAUUUCGACUUCUAGGCGCCACCGUGUAUGUUCACCUGGCGGCGCUUCAUAUUUACUCUGUGUCAACGAUCUGCGCCAAAUAUUCGGAUAUUAUAGUAAAUCGGUAUUUUUGGUCCGUUCCUAUUGUUAAUUAUAGAAACACGGUCGCGCAAAACACAUUUUGGAGAAAAAAAUCGGCAAAAACUCUCGCACGUCAGCAAUGUUGGCAAAACCUUCAAGCCUGGAUGGGCUUUUAAGCAAACCCCAUAAACAGUCACUUGAUUCAGCCCAUCAUUAAGUCGGAUUAAUGGGAAUCAACAAUAGACGCGGCUUACGCAACGCCGUCUUCGAUUGCAUGGACUUCAGAACAUGUUUUUUGCGACUUUCAAUGAUUGGGCAACAGGCAGUGUUGCUGAUCGUGCAAUUUUCCGCCACUGAACCAGAAAUCUCGUUUGUGGAUAUCGCAAAAAUGUCGGGUGUUGGCGUCCUAAUCCGACUAGAAAACACCUCAGGAUUGAUAAUGGGGCCAAUAAACGCCGCAUGCCAGACUAUUUAUACACGCGGAAGCCUGUUACUGUCGGAGCAUGAUCCCGCACAGGACCGGCCUCUAAACAAUUCCACAACCAGCAACGAAACGCCCUGAAAGGCAAAUGGACACUUUCAAGCAGCCCUCAAAAGACACUCAACUCGUUAUAUGAGGAGCGAUUGAGCCCCGAAUCAGCCACCAAAACUAACCGGUUUCAUGCCACCAAAACCACCCGGGCCCGCCCCUGCUAGCCGCUCAUUCAACCAAAGUCGUUGCCCUCAAUUUUGAGGAACAUUUCAUUUCUAACUGGGUAGAAUAAUCGUCUAAUGAUGAAGUAAA